UGGCUCAGGAUGAACGCUGGCGGCGUGCCUAAUACAUGCAAGUCGAGCGAACGGACGAGAAGCUUGCUUCUCUGAUGUUAGCGGCGGACGGGUGAGUAACACGUGGAUAACCUACCUAUAAGACUGGGAUAACUUCGGGAAACCGGAGCUAAUACCGGAUAAUAUUUUGAACCGCAUGGUUCAAAAGUGAAAGACGGUCUUGCUGUCACUUAUAGAUGGAUCCGCGCUGCAUUAGCUAGUUGGUAAGGUAACGGCUUACCAAGGCAACGAUGCAUAGCCGACCUGAGAGGGUGAUCGGCCACACUGGAACUGAGACACGGUCCAGACUCCUACGGGAGGCAGCAGUAGGGAAUCUUCCGCAAUGGGCGAAAGCCUGACGGAGCAACGCCGCGUGAGUGAUGAAGGUCUUCGGAUCGUAAAACUCUGUUAUUAGGGAAGAACAUAUGUGUAAGUAACUGUGCACAUCUUGACGGUACCUAAUCAGAAAGCCACGGCUAACUACGUGCCAGCAGCCGCGGUAAUACGUAGGUGGCAAGCGUUAUCCGGAAUUAUUGGGCGUAAAGCGCGCGUAGGCGGUUUUUUAAGUCUGAUGUGAAAGCCCACGGCUCAACCGUGGAGGGUCAUUGGAAACUGGAAAACUUGAGUGCAGAAGAGGAAAGUGGAAUUCCAUGUGUAGCGGUGAAAUGCGCAGAGAUAUGGAGGAACACCAGUGGCGAAGGCGACUUUCUGGUCUGUAACUGACGCUGAUGUGCGAAAGCGUGGGGAUCAAACAGGAUUAGAUACCCUGGUAGUCCACGCCGUAAACGAUGAGUGCUAAGUGUUAGGGGGUUUCCGCCCCUUAGUGCUGCAGCUAACGCAUUAAGCACUCCGCCUGGGGAGUACGACCGCAAGGUUGA
Molecule: ribosomal RNA, 896 nt
Filed under: Staphylococcus aureus
Lineage: Bacteria; Bacillati; Bacillota; Bacilli; Caryophanales; Staphylococcaceae
Description: bacterial SSU rRNA
Rfam family: Bacterial small subunit ribosomal RNA
Source: RNAcentral